AAGGUAGCGAAAUUCCUUGUCGGGUAAGUUCCGACCUGCACGAAUGGCGUAACGAUGGCCACACUGUCUCCUCCCGAGACUCAGCGAAGUUGAAGUGUUUGUGAUGAUGCAAUCUCCCCGCGGCUAGACGGAAAGACCCCAUGAACCUUUACUGUAGCUUUGCAUUGGACUUUGAACCGGUCUGUGUAGGAUAGGUGGGAGGCUUUGAAGCGUGAACGCCAGUUUGCGUGGAGCCAUCCUUGAAAUACCACCCUGAUCUGUUUGAGGUUCUAACCCUGGUCCGUGAAUCCGGACCGGGGACAGUGCAUGGUAGGCAGUUUGACUGGGGCGGUCUCCUCCCAAAGUGUAACGGAGGAGUACGAAGGUACGCUAGGUACGGUCGGAAAUCGUGCUGAUAGUGCAAUGGCAUAAGCGUGCUUGACUGCGAGACCGACAAGUCGAGCAGGUGCGAAAGCAGGUCAUAGUGAUCCGGUGGUUCUGUAUGGAAGGGCCAUCGCUCAACGGAUAAAAGGUACUCUGGGGAUAACAGGCUGAUACCGCCCAAGAGUUCAUAUCGACGGCGGUGUUUGGCACCUCGAUGUCGGCUCAUCUCAUCCUGGGGCUGUAGCCGGUCCCAAGGGUAUGGCUGUUCGCCAUUUAAAGAGGUACGUGAGCUGGGUUUAAAACGUCGUGAGACAGUUUGGUCCCUAUCUGCCGUGGGCGCUGGAUAUUUGAAGGGGGCUGCUCCUAGUACGAGAGGACCGGAGUGGACGAACCUCUGGUGUACCGGUUGUCACGCCAGUGGCAUCGCCGGGUAGCUAUGUUCGGAAGAGAUAACCGCUGAAAGCAUCUAAGCGGGAAACUCGCCUUAAGAUGAGAUAUCCCCGGGGCUUCGAGCCCCUUGAAGGGUCGUUCAAGACCAGGACGUUGAUAGGUCAGGUGUGUAAGCGCAGUAAUGCGUUGAGCUAACUGAUACUAAUUGCCCGUAAGGCUUGAUCCUAUAACCAGUGUGUUUC
This 995-nucleotide ribosomal RNA is filed under the name Mesorhizobium sp. RNAcentral describes it as "partial 23S ribosomal RNA". It matches the Rfam family "Bacterial large subunit ribosomal RNA", at positions 1953 to 2925 of the family's 2925-position model. Lineage: Bacteria; Pseudomonadati; Pseudomonadota; Alphaproteobacteria; Hyphomicrobiales; Phyllobacteriaceae. The record is from RNAcentral.